RNAcentral lists this transfer RNA (67 nucleotides) under Conotrachelus sp. KM-2017. RNAcentral's name for it is "tRNA-Gly". The record is from RNAcentral. Lineage: Eukaryota; Metazoa; Arthropoda; Insecta; Coleoptera; Curculionidae.
AUUUGUAUAAUAUAAUAAAUUAUAUUUGAUUUCCAAUCAAAAUAUCUAGAUACCACUAGUAUAAAUA